GGAAAAGUAAGCUAACUUAAGCUUUUGGGUUCAUACCUCAAAUAUAGAUUUUAUUCUCUUUUCCA
Molecule: transfer RNA, 65 nt
Filed under: Eolachesilla chilensis
Lineage: Eukaryota; Metazoa; Arthropoda; Insecta; Psocodea; Lachesillidae
Description: tRNA-Met
Source: RNAcentral